This is a long non-coding RNA of Telopea speciosissima, 844 nucleotides long. RefSeq lists it as uncharacterized. Lineage: Eukaryota; Viridiplantae; Streptophyta; Magnoliopsida; Proteales; Proteaceae. The transcript has 3 exons. The record is from RefSeq and is a predicted model, not a curated record.
CGGUCACUACAUAACAGCAAUACUUUCCAUCAGAAAUAAAUGUCACAGAAAAAUCAUAACACAAGGUGUACAUAAGAGUUGUACCAAUAGAAUCUAAAUUAUAUUAAAUUAGAAAAGCUUGAAAAUAAAAAUUAAACUAUUUCCUAACAAGAGAACAUAUUCUGCAGAAGACAAAUUAGCUUGAAGAGAUAAAAAAAAGAAUCUAAAACAAGCAUGGCUCCAUAUGCAAUCAGUAUGGGAGAAACAAUGCUCAGGUGGUUGAUGAAAGAAAAGAGUAUCCACGAGCAAUUGAGAUUCCCCUGUUCCCGCGAAGAGUAGGAACAAGGUAACUGGGACCAUAAGAACACACAUUCUGCAAAAGAUAAAUUGGCCUAAAGAGAGAAAAUGAAUCUUAAACAAUCAUGAUUUCGGUAUGCAAACAGAAUUGCAUAAUACUAAUGCUUAAAAACAACACUGAAUUGUGGAAACUUGAAUUAAAUGCAAUAAGAUGCAAUUAACCAAACAGCUGUAAAAAGAUAGAGAUCUCCUGAGGAGAUAUUUUGCUAGGAGCAAAUUCUGGCCAAACUCUGAAUAUGGCUUCGUCGUUUUAACAAAAGGAAUAGAAGAACAAGAUAAUGGAAAUAAUCAAAACAUAAAUAGAUCUUAAGCAACUAAGAAAGCAGAAAGUAAAGUAAUCAGACUACUGCGCUGUAAUGCAGAAACAACUUCAUCACAAGUUCAUCAUCAGUAAAAUGAGGAUAAGAUAAGGAAUGAAGUCAAUUUACGAUUUCAUUAAGUGAAGGCAUUUCCAAUUAUAGUCACCCAUGUACCAAAUGCCCCACAACUCAACAUUCUUCUGAAGCAA